This 1307-nucleotide unclassified non-coding RNA is filed under the name uncultured fungus. RNAcentral describes it as "sequence contains 18S rRNA gene, ITS1, 5.8S rRNA gene, ITS2, 28S rRNA gene". The record is from RNAcentral. Lineage: Eukaryota; Fungi.
UCGCGCGCCCGCCCGAGCCCGAGGACUACGAGCUGCGGUGGGCCGGACUCAAGGCCCACAACCGCUGGCUCGCCGACUUCUGCGCCGACGCGCCCGGUCGGCGCGCCGGGAUGGCGCAGAUCUUCCUCAACGACAUCGACGACGCGGUCGCGGAGAUCGAGUGGGCGGCCGAGCACGGGCUGUUCGGCGGGGUCAUGCUCCCCGGCGUCCCGCCCGACUGCGACCUCCCCCCUCUCUACACGGCCGACUACGACCCGAUCUGGGCUGCGUGCCAGGACCUGAACCUGCCGAUCAACAACCACUCGGGCGCGGCCGGCCCCGCACCGGCCGAGACCCUCGCCGGGACGGCCGUGUUCAUGGUCGAGUUGGGCUGGUUCUCGCACCGCGUGUUCUGGCACAUGGUCUUCGGCGGCGCGUUCGCGCGCUUCCCCGGCAUCAAGCUCGUCCUCACCGAGCAGUCGGCGGGUUGGGUGCCGCGUGUGCUCGAGAUGCUCGACCACCAGUACGCACGGUUCCGCGACCCGAACACGGCGGAGUCGCACUUCGGCGGUGAGCUCACGAAGACCGUCACCGAAUCGCCGAGCUACUACUGGCGCGAGAACUGCUACGUCGGCGCGAGCUUCUUCCGUCCGUGCGAGACGCCGCUGCGCCACGAAAUCGGCAUCGACAAGAUCAUGUGGGGCCAGGACUACCCGCACAUCGAGAGCACGUACCCGUACACCACCGAAGCGUUGCGCCACAGCUUCGCCGGCGUCGACGCGGGCGAGGUCGCGCAGAUGGUGGGGCUCAACGCGGCGCGCGUGUACGGAUUCGACCUCGACCUGCUCUCCGACACGGCGGCGCGCGUCGGACCGACGGUCGACGAGGUCGCGGUGCCGCUCGACGUCAUCCCCGCCGACUCGCGCUCGAUCGCGUUCGCGGGCGAGUCGGUGAAGCCCUGGUGACACCACCUGGUGGACGCGUCCCCACGGCGACAGACUGACGAUCCCUUCACCGUUCGGGAGUGACCAUGUCGACCGAAGCACCGAUGAUCCGUCCCGCCGAGAUCGCGGGCUGGCCCCUCCUCAAGCUCGUCUACCGCACCGACCCGGAGUGCAUCGCCGAGCUCCUCCCGCCGGGAAUCACGCCCGGCCGCGAGCCGCACGUGCACAUCAACAUCUACUGCGUGCCGGUGAACGGCGAGCCCGAGUGCGGCGUGUCCACCAAGGUGCCGGCCGACUACGACGGUCGCGAGGGCUACUACAGCCUCGGGCUCGGGAUCGACCAGGAGUCCGCGGUGUUCAUCAGUCGCGAGAUGAACGGGCAGC